Artibeus jamaicensis (Jamaican fruit-eating bat) is the source of this 258-nucleotide long non-coding RNA. RefSeq lists it as uncharacterized. The record is from RefSeq and is a predicted model, not a curated record. The transcript is spliced from 4 exons. NCBI's taxonomy places the organism in Eukaryota, Metazoa, Chordata, Mammalia, Chiroptera, Phyllostomidae.
CUGGGACUUGACCUAGGGGAUGAGCCAGAAGGGGAAACUCAGCGGCUCCCUUCCUGCAAGAGCUGGUGGUCAGUGCACUGAGCUGCACCAGCCAAGGCCCGUGUUUAACUUUGAAGAGCUGCCAGACCGUCAGUGGCCAGAAGAUCCAGAGCCAGGAUGAAGCCUUAGCGGUGGCCUGUGAGAAGACAGUGUCGGCCAUGCACCAUGUUCUGCAGCGGACCAUCAAAUGUGCUCAAGCCCAGGCUGGGGAAGGACAGA